AACAAAGAAUAUUUUCCUCUGGUAGGAGGUGGGGUUAAGUAUGGGAAGGGAUAUGGAUUUUUCUUAGUUUUCUGAACUCCUUUUUAGUUUCUUUAUUAAAUAUGCAUACUGUUCAUUUGCCGCUUUCAUAUCUUCCUCAUGAAAUUAGAUUUGCAAGUACCCGGCACACAACCCUCAUUGUU
Long non-coding RNA from Myotis davidii, 182 nucleotides. RefSeq lists it as uncharacterized. The transcript has 2 exons. The record is from RefSeq and is a predicted model, not a curated record. NCBI's taxonomy places the organism in Eukaryota, Metazoa, Chordata, Mammalia, Chiroptera, Vespertilionidae.